Molecule: long non-coding RNA, 621 nt
Filed under: Cercocebus atys (sooty mangabey)
Lineage: Eukaryota; Metazoa; Chordata; Mammalia; Primates; Cercopithecidae
Description: lncRNA (ENSCATG00000045699.1)
Source: RNAcentral
CUCCCAGCCUAUGGCACUCUACAUGUAGGGAGACACCCACUAGGGUGAGGCUCCAUUAUCCAGCAAUGUCCCCUAGGGACCGGCAAAGGGCUACCUGCAGUUGGCUCAGGGUGGCAUUGGAGGCCUCCCCUCCUGUGUCUCCUGCUGUGCCCAGGCCCCACCAGGCCUAACCCUGGCCCUGUUCUCUCCAACACCCACAUGCAUGUAGAGGGGGGCACCAGCAGGAUUUCAUAAGGGUGUCACCCAAGUUAGCAGAUCUGAGGAGCAAAGUCCAUUGCAGGACAUUGGGCUGUUUGCAGCUGGCUGGGAGUUUCCUUCAGACGAGAGUAGCCAAGACAGAAGAGUGGGACAGAAAGAAUGGGCAGAGCUAUGACCUCAGCCUUCCUUGCAAGCCUCUGCUGUAAACCCCAGCCGCUCAUACAAAUCUCCAGCCAUCCUCGACUGCGUUCCUCCCGAGUGGAGCCCACACUGAGCUGUGACUUCCCAGGAGUCAUCUGAGGUGACCCAGCUCUGAGCCAAUGGAAGCCUUUGAGGGGGAAGGCCAGCCCAGCCAGCAUGGUGGUGAGUGUGGUGGGGGUGGGAUGUCAGGGUGGGCAUGAGGCCCAGCCCUACCCACCCCAC